This 277-nucleotide long non-coding RNA is filed under the name Amborella trichopoda. RNAcentral's name for it is "long non-coding RNA (ATRI_LNC005364)". Lineage: Eukaryota; Viridiplantae; Streptophyta; Magnoliopsida; Amborellales; Amborellaceae. The record is from RNAcentral.
ACAGAUUAUUUUUUAAAAUAAUGAGGUCAUUUGCACAUAAAAUUUAUCGUGCUUAAAAUUCAUGAUAAUAAGCAGAAAUAAUUAUUUCAUUUCAUUUUUAAAAAGAACGGAUUAUUUUUCAAGAUAAUGAAAUCACUUACACACAAAACUUAUAAAAUAAAGAUCCUGGACGGAAAUAUCACUAUUUAUUAAAAACAGACUAUUUUUUAGGAAGACGAUGUCAUUUACACAUAAAAUAUUUGAGAGAGAGCUUCCGAUAAAAAUUUGGUUAAAGAGA